Molecule: long non-coding RNA, 700 nt
Organism: Chinchilla lanigera (long-tailed chinchilla)
Lineage: Eukaryota; Metazoa; Chordata; Mammalia; Rodentia; Chinchillidae
Exons: 4
Source: RefSeq, a predicted model, not a curated record
UUUCCAUCCAGGCUGCCCACUUCCCAGGGAGCUCCAGGACGAUCCGACCACCGUGUGCCAGGGAAUGCUGUCUUGAAAGCAUAGUCAUAUUCCUUCACUGUUCUACCUGGAAUCAUCUGAGCACUUCUCCAGGAACACAUGAAUGGGUAUUUUUUUGAAUAUCUACUUUGUGCCAGGCUCUUCAGGAUGAAAGACUGACUGCACACCUACGGCAGAUAGGGCAGACGCAAGACUGAAAAAGAACAAAUCUUCUGCAUUCAUGUCCAAGAGAGCUCUCAGAACCAAUUCUCAUUGCCCUUGAGAGUAGAGUGGCCCAUUGAGAAUGCGUAGUUUAAAGAAAAAAUGGCAGCAAAUGCAGCUGGGGCCUGGUCACCGAGAGUGAGGACAGGAGACGAGGUCAGAGGGCCAAGGAGGCCUCAGUGGUCUCAGAAGGCAGACCCUAGACCGCAACAGCUACACCCGGAGGGCAUUAGAGAAUCGGAGUGGCAUCCGGCAGCCUGUGGGUGCAGAAGCCUUUCGGGUGGCUCCAGAGGCUUGCUAGAGUCUGUGGCCACCACGGAACCCGUCACUGCACUGCAAAACCCACCGGAAGCUCGGAGGGUCUCGCGAGAAAAUCUGGGGACACUUACAAGGGUGACUCUGGUUACCUGACCAUGAGAAUGGACAGAGUGGGGCAAAAAAUAAAAGAGCGAGAAGCCCC